Molecule: ribosomal RNA, 497 nt
Filed under: uncultured bacterium
Lineage: Bacteria
Description: partial 16S ribosomal RNA
Rfam family: Bacterial small subunit ribosomal RNA
Source: RNAcentral
GAUGAACGCUGGCGGCGUGCCUAAUACAUGCAAGUCGAGCGAACAGAUAAGGAGCUUGCUCCUUUGAAGUUAGCGGCGGACGGGUGAGUAACACGUGGGUAACCUACCUAUAAGACUGGGAUAACUUCGGGAAACCGGAGCUAAUACCGGAUAACAUUUAGAACCGCAUGGUUCUAAAGUGAAAGAUGGUUUUGCUAUCACUUAUAGAUGGACCCGCGCCGUAUUAGCUAGUUGGUAAGGUAACGGCUUACCAAGGCGACGAUACGUAGCCGACCUGAGGGGGUGAUCGGCCACACUGGAACUGAGACACGGUCCAGACUCCUACGGGAGGCAGCAGUAGGGAAUCUUCCGCAAUGGGCGAAAGCCUGACGGAGCAACGCCGCGUGAGUGAUGAAGGGUUUCGGCUCGUAAAACUCUGUUAUUAGGGAAGAACAAAUGUGUAAGUAACUGUGCACAUCUUGACGGUACCUAAUCAGAAAGCCACGGCUAACUACGUG